UAAUAGGAAAUUAAGAGUAUAUGGUGGAUGCCUAGACUAAAAAAGGCGAUGAAAGACGUGGCAUGGCAGCGAUAUUUUUCGGGGAGGUGCCUAGCAACCUGUGAUCCGGAAGUUUCUGAAUGGGGAAACCCACUUGCGUAAACCGCAAGUACUUUCAUACUUGAUAUGAAAGAGCAUACCCAGGGAAGUAAAACAUUUCAGUACCUGGAGGAAAAGAGAAAAAUAUUUAUUUUCUGAGUAGCGGCGAGCGAAAAGGAAAAAGCCCAAACCGAGGAAUCACACAGUGCGGAAAAUAAUUACGAAUUGGUAAUUAUUUUAUUCGUUGUGUGAUACCUCGGGGUUGUAAGAUAACAAUGUAGAUUUAUCUAGAGGAGUUAAAAAAUAUAUUAUUAGAUCAAACUUCUGGAAAGGAGUGCCAUAGAUGGUGAUAGCCCAGUGGUCGAAAAUAAUAUGUCUCUUUGAUUGUUAUUCUUGAGUAACUCAAGACACGAAUAGCUUGAGCGAAUCCGCCAGAACUAACUGGCAAGGCUAAAUACUUUUUUAGAUCGAUAGUGAACUAGUACCGUGAGGGAAAGGUGAAAAGAACCCCGAUAAGGGGAGUGAAAUAGACCUGAAACCAUAUACUUACAAGGAGUCGGAGCGGACGUAUUUAUACGAUCCGUCACGGCGUGCCUAUUGAAGAAUGAGCCAACGAGUUUAUCUAUGCUGCAGGCUAAGCUGUUAGAACAGUGGAGCCUUAGGGAAACCGAGUGUUAAUAGCGCGAAAUUUAUGUAGUUUAGAUAAGACCCGAAGCCAGGUGAGCUUGCCAUGAGCAGGAUGAACCCUGUCGAAAGAUGGGGGGAGGUCCGAACCGGUGACCCGUGCAAUAGUCUCGGAUGACUUGUGGUAAGGAGUGAAAAGCUAAUCGAACCUGGUAAUAGCUGGUUCUCUCCGAAAUAGCUUUAGGGCUAGCGUUACGUGUUCCUCUUGGGGGUAGAGCACUGGAAGGUUUCGACAGGGAGCAAUCUCGCGACACCUAUCAAACUCCGAAUACCAAGAGUUAGAACGUAGCAGUUAGGCUAUGGGGGCGAAGCUCCAUCAGCCAAAAGGGAAACAGCCCAGAUCUCUAAUUAAGGUCCCUAAAUUUACGCUAAGUGCAAACCAAGGAGGUGAAAUUUCUCUGACAAUGAGGAUGUUGGCUUAGAAGCAGCCAUCAUUUAAAGAAAGCGUAACAGCUCACUCAUCAAGAGAUCUCGCACCGAAAAUAAUCGGGGCUAAGCGUAAUACCGAAAUUGAGGGCUUUGCUUUUCUUCGGAAAAGCGGAGCGGUAGGAGAGUAUUCUAUACAGCGUCGAAGCUAAAGGGGUGACCCAUAGUGGAGCGUAUAGAAGUAAGAAUGUUGGCACAAGUAACCGCAAGGAAGGUGAGAUCCCUUCCCGCCGAAAGAUUCAGGUUUCCUUGGCAAUGGUGAUCAUCCAAGGGUUAGUCGGUCCUAAGGGAAUGGCGAAAGCCGCACUCGAUGGGCACAUGGUUAAUAUUCCAUGACUUCUGUUGUAUUCGAAGAUAGGACGGAGUGUAGUAUAUAAAGCUCAUUAUUGGAUUUGAGUUUGUGAGUGAAGAUGGUUUCUAGGAAAAUCCGGAAACUGACGUUAAAGUAACAUCUAAGCAAAGCAUAAAUAUGUGGGUUCGCCCAUGUAAAUUUUAUAAAGCACGCUUCCAAGAAAAGUAUCUAAGGUUAAUACAAUAGAAUCCGUACCGUAAACCGACACAGGUAAUCUGGUCGAGCAGACUAAGGCGAACGAGUGAGAGGUCUUCAAGGAACUCGGCAAAAAAGCAGCCGUAACUUUGGAAUAAGGCUUGCCGUUCUUAAUUUAUUAAGAUCGGCCGCAGCGAAAGUAUCUCUGGCAACUGUUUAUCAAAAACACAGCUCCCUGCGAACUCGCAAGAGGAUGUAUAGGGGGUGACGCCUGACCAAUGCCAGAAGGUCAACUAUCGGUGGUGAUAUGACUUCGGUUGUAUUGCUGGCUGAUAUAAGCCCUGGUGAAUGUCGGCCGUAACUAUAACGGUCCUAAGGUUUUGCAUUCGAGCGAAAGCUGGAAUGUAAAACGGACUAGGACGGUUAUAGAAAACGAUAAACAAUUUAUAAAAAUUUCAUGAACCAUUUUAGCUACCUAUUGAUGUAGUAAUAUAUCUUUAGUCCAAACUUGAUGAAUGAGAGACCAACGUCAAGCAUCCGAACUCUGCAAAGAGAGGAUGAAGAUAGAGUCCUUCUUAGGGGUACAGAAGAGCGAAGUACCUUGUCGGGUAAGUUCCGACGCGCACGAAUGGCGUAAUGACUGGAGAACUGUCUCGAAGACCUGCUCGGUGAAAAUACAAUACCGGUGAAGAUGCCGGUUACCUGCAGAUAGACGAAAAGACCCUAGAAGCUUUACUGCAGCUUGAUAUUGAGUAUGUGAUUAUACUGCGUAGCAUAGAUGGGAGAGGUUUGAUGGUUCCGAUUUCGGUUGGGAUCUACUCGUCAGUGAAAUACCAUUCUUUGUGACUGCAUAUUCUAAUUUCUAAGGCAAAAACUUAGAGAGACAGUAUCUGGUGGGUAGUUUUACUGGGGCGGUAUCCUCCUAAAGAGUAACGGAGGAGUUUAUUAAGGUUAGCUAGGCGCGAAUGGAAACCGUGCCGAUAGUGUAAUGGCACAAGCUGGCUUAACUGUAAGACGUACUUGUCGAGCAGAUACGAAAGUAGAACAUAGUGAACCGACAUUUCGCAUUAGAUGCGGAUGAAGAUUAACGGAUAAAAGCUACUCUAGGGAUAACAGGCUAGUUCCGCCUAAGAGUUCAUAUCGACGGCGGAGUUCGGCACCUCGAUGUCGGCUCACCUUAUCCUGGUGGUGGAGAAGCUGCCAAGGGUUUAGCUGUUCGCUAAUUAAAAAGGUACGCGAGCUGGGUUCAAACCGUUCAGAGAUUAAUCAUGUAACAAUGAUUGAGAAUUGGACAGUUUGAACCAAUCGAGGAAGAAGAGAAAAGAAAUUUUCUCAGAAAUGUUUUAAUCUGAGAUUAAGACCGUGUGUACUGUGGUACACUCACGGCGGCAUACAUUAAAUUGUAUGAGAAGUUCACUUAUAUCGGUGAAAUCCUACUUGUAAAAGAGGAUAAUACCGAGGGAAAGUAUUCAUACUACCCGUAGAGACUAAAUGUGAAAUAGUUCAUAACUUUGUUAUGGAUGAAAGUUAUAGUCCAAUCCCUUUAGUAAUAAAGGUUCGAUCAUUAUUAUUGAAACGCGAUAAUGAGAGAAGUAAAAUAUAGAUGCGUGAGACAGGUUGGUCUCCUAUCUACUGCAGGCGUUGAUUCUUGAGAAGAUUUGCUCCUAGUACGAGAGGACCGGAGUGAACUGACCUCUGGUGUGUCGGCUCUAGCGCCCGCUGGACUGCCGAGUAGCUAUGUCGGGAAUGGAUAACCUCUGAAAGCAUCUAAGAGGGAAGCCAGCUUCAAGAUGAGGAAUCGUUUGAGAAACCUAAGAGAUGAUUAGGUUGAUAGGCACUAGGUGUACGCACAGUAAUGUGUUCAGCCAAGGUGUACUAAUCGUUCGAUUCCUAUUAGG
RNAcentral lists this ribosomal RNA (3573 nucleotides) under Patescibacteria group bacterium. RNAcentral's name for it is "23S ribosomal RNA". It matches the Rfam family "Bacterial large subunit ribosomal RNA". The record is from RNAcentral.